RNAcentral lists this ribosomal RNA (491 nucleotides) under uncultured bacterium. Its description in RNAcentral is "partial 16S ribosomal RNA". It matches the Rfam family "Bacterial small subunit ribosomal RNA", at positions 29 to 506 of the family's 1533-position model. The record is from RNAcentral.
AGUGAACGCUGGCGGUAGGCCUAACACAUGCGAGUCGAACGGCAGCACAGUAAGAGCUUGCUCUUACGGGUGGCGAGUGGCGGACGGGUGAGGAAUACAUCGGAAUCUACUUUUUCGUGGGGGAUAACGUAGGGAAACUUACGCUAAUACCGCAUACGACCUACGGGUGAAAGCAGGGGAUCUUCGGACCUUGCGCGAUUGAAUGAGCCGAUGUCGGAUUAGCUAGUUGGCGGGGUAAAGGCCCACCAAGGCGACGAUCCGUAGCUGGUCUGAGAGGAUGAUCAGCCACACUGGAACUGAGACACGGUCCAGACUCCUACGGGAGGCAGCAGUGGGGAAUAUUGGACAAUGGGCGCAAGCCUGAUCCAGCCAUACCGCGUGGGUGGAGAAGGCCUUCGGGUUGUAAAGCCCUUUUGUUGGGAAAGAAAAGCAGCAGGUUAAUACCCCGCUGUUCUGACGGUACCCAAAGAAUAAGCACCGGCUAACUUCGU